AGAGUGAACGCUGGCGGCAGGCCUAACACAUGCAAGUCGAACGGCAGCACGAGAGAGCUUGCUCUCUUGGUGGCGAGUGGCGGACGGGUGAGGAAUACGUCGGAAUCUGCCUUUUUGUGGGGGAUAACGUAGGGAAACUUACGCUAAUACCGCAUACGACCUACGGGUGAAAGCGGAGGACCUUCGGGCUUCGCGCAGAAAGAUGGACGCCGACGUCGGUAUUAG
Molecule: ribosomal RNA, 225 nt
Filed under: uncultured soil bacterium
Lineage: Bacteria
Description: partial 16S ribosomal RNA
Rfam family: Bacterial small subunit ribosomal RNA
Source: RNAcentral